This 654-nucleotide long non-coding RNA is filed under the name Brassica napus (rape). Its description in RNAcentral is "long non-coding RNA (BNAP_LNC010927)". The record is from RNAcentral. Lineage: Eukaryota; Viridiplantae; Streptophyta; Magnoliopsida; Brassicales; Brassicaceae.
AUUUAGAGUUUAUAUUUGAGUUUAGGGUUUAGUAAUUAGUGAUUAGGGUUAAGUAUUUAGAGUAAUAGGAGUGAGUUUGAGGCCAGUAUUAGAUUUUGAAAUUUGGGUUUAGAGUUUAGGGUUUAUGGUUUAUAUUUGGGUUUAGGGUUUAGUGAUUAGGAUUUAGGGUUUAGUAUUUAGAAGGGCAGAGUUGGUAUUUGGGUUUAGUGAACAUGUAUCGUUUCAUUUUACAAUUAAUAAAGAGUGUUCUAUUUUGUUCACCAAUAUAUACUAUACUAUUUAUUUUAUUUCAUUCUAUUUGGGUUUAGGGGCUAUAUUUGGGUUUAGGGUUUAGUGAUUAGAGUUUAAAGUUUAGUAUUUGGAAGGUGCGUGGUUAAGGCUUGGGUUUAGUGAUAGCAGUUUAAGAUUUAAUAUUCAAAAUGUGCCUUCAAGUGUCCAAUAUUGAAAUUUUUUUUAUAGAUUGUAUUUGGGUUUAUAGGUUCUUGCCUAGGGUUUAGAUUUACUAAGUAGAGGUUUGAGUAUAGUAAACCAUAUUAUAUAUAUACUAUUUGGGUUUAUCCUUCCUUAAUUAGGGUUUAGAUUUAAUAGUUAAUGGUGUGUCUUGUAUUGCUGUAUUUUUCGGGUGAAGAGAAUUUACUAUUUGCAUUUCAUACU